This 468-nucleotide ribosomal RNA is filed under the name uncultured bacterium. Its description in RNAcentral is "bacterial SSU rRNA". It matches the Rfam family "Bacterial small subunit ribosomal RNA", at positions 330 to 793 of the family's 1533-position model. The record is from RNAcentral.
ACCAGACUCCUACGGGAGGCAGCAGUGAGGAAUAUUGGUCAAUGGGCGCGAGCCUGAACCAGCCAAGUCGCGUGAGGGAAGACGGUCCUAUGGAUUGUAAACCUCUUUUGUCGGGGAGCAAAAGACGCCACGUGUGGCGUUCCGAGAGUACCCGAAGAAAAAGCAUCGGCUAACUCCGUGCCAGCAGCCGCGGUAAUACGGAGGGUGCGAGCGUUAAUCGGAAUUACUGGGCGUAAAGCGCACGUAGGCUGUAUGACAAGUCAAGGGUGAAAUGCCACGGCUCAACCGUGGAACUGCCUUUGAAACUGUCAAACUGGAGUAUGUGAGAGGGCGGCGGAAUUCCUGGUGUAGGAGUGAAAUCCGUAGAUAUCAGGAGGAACAUCAGUGGCGAAGGCGGCCGCCUGGCACAAAACUGACGCUGAGGUGCGAAAGCGUGGGUAGCAAACAGGAUUAGAUACCCGCGUAUGG